AUUGAACGCUGGCGGCAUGCUUUACACAUGCAAGUCGAACGGUAACAGGCCUUCUGGUGCUGACGAGUGGCGAACGGGAGAGUAAUGCAUCGGAACGUGCCCAGAGUGGGGGGAUAACGCAUCGAAAGCUGUGCUAAUACCGCAUGUGAUCUGAGGGUGAAAGCGGGGGACCAGGCAGCAAUGUUUGGCCUCGCGCCUUUGUAGCGGCCGAUGUCAGAUUAGGUAGUUGGUGGGGUAAAGGCGUACCAAGCCGACGAUCUGUAGCUGGUCUGAGAGGACGACCAGCCACACUGGGACUGAGACACGGCCCAGACUCCUACGGGAGGCAGCAGUGGGGAAUUUUGGACAAUGGGCGCAAGCCUGAUCCAGCAAUGCCGCGUGCGGGAAGAAGGCCUUCGGGUUGUAAACCGAUUUUGUACGGAACGAAAAGGCUCUGGCUAAUACCUGGGGCUGAUGACGGUACCGUAAGAAUAAGCACCGGCUAACUACGUG
This 492-nucleotide ribosomal RNA is filed under the name uncultured bacterium. RNAcentral describes it as "partial 16S ribosomal RNA". It matches the Rfam family "Bacterial small subunit ribosomal RNA", at positions 30 to 507 of the family's 1533-position model. The record is from RNAcentral.